CGCACUGCGAUGGGCACAGGACUGCCCCUCCAGACUGGUUCAGCCCCUGCAACGCGGUGGCGGAGCUGCACGAAGAGGAGCAGCGCUCAGUUCCAACUCCCAAAGGAUAAAGCCUCACCCAACCGCUCGGGGCUGCGGACCAAAGGCACCGUGAGCAUCUCACCCUGAGAUGGGUGGGGGUGAACCUUCCUCAGGAUCGCCGGCAGUGGGCACAUCCUGAAGCUGUCAGUUUGUAACUUUCCCACUGGAAAACGCGGUUCCAGCGCUUCCAGCCCUGCAGCAGCUCAUGCCACAGGGCAUGGCACACGAUCUUCCUUACAAAUUGAGGUGUUACACAGCGCCGAAUGAGCUGACACGCUGCAGAUAGCACUGCGAGUGUUUUGUCACCCUGAUAUUUCACAGCGGAGUUGUGUAGCACUUUUG
This is a long non-coding RNA of Gallus gallus (chicken), 423 nucleotides long. Lineage: Eukaryota; Metazoa; Chordata; Aves; Galliformes; Phasianidae. The record is from Ensembl.